Molecule: long non-coding RNA, 409 nt
Organism: Arabidopsis thaliana (thale cress)
Lineage: Eukaryota; Viridiplantae; Streptophyta; Magnoliopsida; Brassicales; Brassicaceae
Product: other RNA
Exons: 2
Source: RefSeq
UCUGAGAAUCCUAACCGCCACCAAAACUAAAUCAAACCACAAGAAAGACGAGACUACCAUUGUGAGACAACCGAGACUUUGAUUCCCUCAAACCAAAGAUGAAGUCUUCUAGCUAACUGGGACAAGAGGACACAUGUAACCAGUUGAAGAUACUAGGAACGGAGACCGACUUUGAAACAAUGUUGAUUCAGCCUCCACUUUCGCCUCAAUGAUAAAGCUCUUACAAAACCACCACCUGAAACUACGGAAACAUUGACGAGGGGAAAGCCGAAAACUACUUGAAAGAGAAAGAGCAUUCACACAGCACUGGCGGGGAAAGCCAGUGGGCUUGAUUUACUUAGUAAAAAGUAAACUUAGCUCAAUCUUAUGCAAUAUGUUAUUGAUGAUUGUUCUUUGACUGCCGCUUGGA